GACGAACGCUGGCGGCGUGCUUAAUACAUGCAAGUCGAGCGGUGAACCCGACUGAAAGCCUUCGGGCUUGACGUUGGGGGAUCAGCGGCGAACGGGUGAGUAACACGUGGGUAACCUGCCUGGAAGACAGGGAUAACGAUUCGAAAGGGUCGCUAAUACCUGAUAAUAUCCUUUCAUCGCAUGGUGAUAGGAAGAAAGGGGAAACCCGCUUUCAGAUGGGCCCGCGUCCCAUCAGCUAGUUGGUAAGGUAAAGGCUUACCAAGGCGACGACGGGUAGCCGGUCUGAGAGGAUGUACGGCCACACUGGGACUGAGAUACGGCCCAGACUCCUACGGGAGGCAGCAGUUGGGAAUCUUAGGCAAUGGACGAAAGUCUGACCUAGCGACGCCGCGUGAGGGAAGAAGGCCUUCGGGUUGUAAACCUCUGUCAUGGGGGAAGAAGUAAGUGACGGUACCCCAAGAGGAAGCCCCUGCUAACUACGUG
RNAcentral lists this ribosomal RNA (483 nucleotides) under uncultured bacterium. Its description in RNAcentral is "bacterial SSU rRNA". It matches the Rfam family "Bacterial small subunit ribosomal RNA", at positions 28 to 507 of the family's 1533-position model. The record is from RNAcentral.